Small nuclear RNA from Monodelphis domestica (gray short-tailed opossum), 104 nucleotides. NCBI's taxonomy places the organism in Eukaryota, Metazoa, Chordata, Mammalia, Didelphimorphia, Didelphidae. The record is from Ensembl.
GCUUGUUUUGGCAGUGCAUAGGCUAAAAUUGGAACAAUACAGAGAAAAUUAGCAUGGAACCUGUACAAGGAUGACACACAAAUUGUAAAGCAUUCUAUAUUUUU